UAUAUAAAUAAUAAUACAAUUAUGGUAUAGUGUUGAGGUAUAUAUGAGAAAAGAAUAUAUAUAUAUAUAGAGUGAGGCUACUAUGCUUCUGAGAGCACGGAGUCUUCUGUACUUUCAGGUUGUUUUUAAUGUUGCGACUUUCGAAUCGUCGAUCGGCUCCGUUAAACUUGAUCUAGAGUAUUUGAAAUACCUAGAAAAUAAAUUUUGCAAUUUUUCGAUAUCAUUUGCCUGGUGAAUUAAGGGGCUCAAAAUCAACGACUGAAAAUAAAAAUCUUACAAAACGUGAUAAUAUGAUAUUAAAAUUUUAGAUCAAAGAUAUUGAUUUUGUUUUAUAUAGUAUAAAGAAUUUUCUAUCAAAAUUUCACGUGAUUUGGAUAUUUCUAUAUCGUUAAACUUGCAAACGACUCACCACGGCCAUUAAAAUUAUUGAUUUUGAGUCCUUCGAUCACUAGGCAAAUGAUAUCGAAAAAUCAUAAAAUUUAUUUUCUAAGUACUUCAAAUACUCUAGAUCAAGUUUAAUGAGCCGAUCGACGAUUCGAAAGUCACAACAUCGAAAACGACCUGGAAGCACGCUAGGCUCCGUGCUUCCAGAAGCAUAGCAGCCUCUCUCUCUCUCUCUCUCUCUCUCUC
RNAcentral lists this long non-coding RNA (630 nucleotides) under Ananas comosus (pineapple). RNAcentral describes it as "long non-coding RNA (ACOM_LNC017537)". Lineage: Eukaryota; Viridiplantae; Streptophyta; Magnoliopsida; Poales; Bromeliaceae. The record is from RNAcentral.